This 211-nucleotide long non-coding RNA is filed under the name Eucalyptus grandis. RNAcentral's name for it is "long non-coding RNA (EGRA_LNC000999)". Lineage: Eukaryota; Viridiplantae; Streptophyta; Magnoliopsida; Myrtales; Myrtaceae. The record is from RNAcentral.
GAAAUCGGACACCGAAUUGGGUUUUUUGAUUACGUUGCCAGUCUUGUCUAUUGUGUGCGUGCGGGGGAAGCGUAUGAUGUCAAAGAUCAGGCGAUUUUCUGGGUUGAUGGAAUGCAGGUAAUCCGAGAAUUGUAGGGGGCGAAAAGCCGGUCCGAGGACGAUGUACCUGGCUAUUGCGAGUCGAUCGAUGGGCUCGCUUGUUUUGUAACCC